Molecule: ribosomal RNA, 273 nt
Filed under: uncultured bacterium
Lineage: Bacteria
Description: partial 16S ribosomal RNA
Rfam family: Bacterial small subunit ribosomal RNA
Source: RNAcentral
AUACGGAGGGUGCAAGCGUUAUUCGGAAUCACUGGGCGUAAAGGGUGCGUAGGCGGUUUGAUAAGUCUGAUGUGAAAUCCUAUGGCUCAACCAUAGAACUGCAUUGGAAACUGUCAGACUAGAAUACUGAAGGGGCAGAUGGAAUUAGUGGUGUAGGGGUAAAAUCCGUAGAUAUCACUAGGAAUACCGAAAGCGAAAGCGAUCUGCUGGGAAGUUAUUGACGCUGAGGCACGAAAGCGUGGGGAGCAAACGGGAUUAGAAACCCUGUAGUCC